GGCCCCACAAGGCUUCCAGACUCUUUCAGGGAUGGCUUGUCCACUCGACUUCCUCUAGGGUAAGGCUUCUUCCGAGUAGAGAGACACUGCAUGUCCCUCUCUCAGAUUUGCUGUGUUCUCCUAGCAAUGUCACAGCAGAAGCAGCAGCAAACUUGGGAACCUCCCAGUGCUCCCAAAGGCUCCUCUCCUCAGUGCCCACACCCCCGCCUGGCUCCCUCCUCCGCACCCUGCAGUACUUCCUGUCACUCUGGUUCCCAGAAGGCCCACGCUCAGAGUCCAGCCCCCUCUAGGCGGCAUCGCCGCAGGCAGCCCCGCUGCCUCAGUGGCGGCACGGUCUACCCCUGCAAAGAGGAGGAGUGCUAAGGCCGCCAGACGCAGAGGAGAGCGACACAGCUCAGCGACAGCGACGCUGCUUCCCUUACAGCACGACGUCGGUGAGUCCACGAGGUCACGCUCAGGUGUCCUGGGAUCCUUCCGGUGGAUGCUGCUCCACUUCCUUUCCUCCUAAGACAGUUUAAAGAGGUGCAGAUUUGGGGGCCUAGGUCCUAGUAUUUUGCAGCCUCCCAGUCAUCAAGCUGUGUCAUUGCAUGAUCCCAGCACUAAGGGCUGCAGUGCAACAAGUCUACGUUGAGGACUGCGUGGGUGCUGGCCUCUUGUUCAUGGUGUAAGUGGGAGAACUGUUGCUGCUCCAGAAAAUCUUCUAAUGCAAUGGGAGAGGCCAUGGAUGCUCCAGGCGCCUCUUGACUGACAGCAUCUCCACACUUCCCUGAUCUCGGAUGAUCUUGGCAGCUUUGAGAAGUAUUCAUUGGACAUUUUGAAGAACGUCUCCCAUUUGGGAUUUGUGUGGUGUUUUUCUCAUGACUGGA
Molecule: non-coding RNA, 866 nt
Organism: Oryctolagus cuniculus (rabbit)
Lineage: Eukaryota; Metazoa; Chordata; Mammalia; Lagomorpha; Leporidae
Source: RefSeq, a predicted model, not a curated record